Long non-coding RNA from Magnolia sinica, 2407 nucleotides. RefSeq lists it as uncharacterized. The transcript has 4 exons. The record is from RefSeq and is a predicted model, not a curated record. NCBI's taxonomy places the organism in Eukaryota, Viridiplantae, Streptophyta, Magnoliopsida, Magnoliales, Magnoliaceae.
AGCUCAUGAAUUUCUUUAUUUUAAACUUAGUUUUAUAAGUUUAUGAUUUGUGAUUUGAAUUCUGCAUUUGGAUGUCUUUAAAUGGUUGUUUCAUGAAAUGGAGAGUCACUAGUGGUGUUUAUGAUAAUUGCAUAUUGGGCUCUGUUAUGGAUCAUAUAUGGUCAUCUAAAUUCUUUAUUUUUCCUUUUUGAUUAACUGUUUUUCUGCUUAGCAUCCAUUGGUGUCACGGCUUCCUUUCUGAUGAGUGUUGCAGAGAAAAACUUUGAUACUUUUGUAGAGUGUAAUGGAUGAUAGGCAGGCACUUAGAAAUUGCAUACGUGGCAUACAAGUAUCCAUUUUCAAAGGUCAGGAUUAUUCGACCAAUCUGAUUGUAGGAUGUGACUUAUUGACUGUCAGUUCCACAAUUUAGUUAGUUUAAUUUGACUUAAUAAUUAAUAUAUGCCAUAGACAAGGUGAUGGGGGUGUUGCCUUUUAAAGAAGCAUGUUUUCUGGUAAUGUUAGUUGCCUCUCCUAUUAAAUGAGAGUCUAAGAUGUUGGGAGGAUCCAUAAAAAAUUAUAUUUUUGGAAACUGAGUUCCUGACUUUUGUUUUAUGCCAGAAAUCUUGACAAUGUAGCCUAACUGGUGGAAAAAUCUGAUCAAGCACACAAUUGUGGCUGAGUAUGGACGGACAGGGACAACGCUCUCCACAUGUGUGGAAUUAGCAAACCUCCUAAAUGCAUAUUGUUGCAUUUAUAGUUCUGUAAAAUUUUCAAUUAAUUUUUAUAUAGAAAUCUACAUGCUAAUUGUUUGAAGAAAUGCUUUAAUUCCUUCCAUGAGAGGCGAUCUUCAAUUUUGUAGGCUAGAAUAGUGUAUUGAGCUGAUAUGUCUAUUCCAUCCAAGCAGGAGUUAUGCCUUGGUGAUCCAAACUGUUGAUGUUAUGUGAUGUAUUUCUUUGUUUCCUUUGAUUUUGGUUAUCUGAGGUUGGGCAUUGUUGUAUGAAAAGAAAAAAAAAAACCUUGACAAUGUUGGGAUCGGGAUCAUUAGAAACACCGAUUGUAGGGCUUUCUUCUUGUAGAGUUUGGGCUGGGUACUGUAUUUGAGUGCAAAUGAUAGGUGGGGCCCUUGCUUCUUGUGAGACCCUGCCUGAAUGUUUGUAUCUACCUCCUUUGUAAUAUAACUACUGAUUGAAUUAAAAAAAAAAACUAUUGAUUUCUCAUUUUUGUCUUUUCUUUUGUAUGAAUAGGAUACAGUGAACUUGGUUUGGUCUUUGUUGUUGUUUCAUUUAGCUUGUUUGGAAUCAAAGAUGAUGAGAUUAUGUUGUUGUUUUGAAGUUUUGAAAGUUCUGAAAUCUGAGGAAAUCAUUGUUGGUGUGGAGUGAACUGGAGUGUUUACUGACAAUGACAAGGCUGCUGCCCAUUUGAAGGAAAUGGUUUGUUUAUGUUUAAAGUGGCUAGGAGAUGUAUCGGUAUGAAUUUUCUUGGGCUGGAAAUAAAUAAGAAGCUUGUGAAACGAUGUCUAGAUUUUGUUCAACAACAAGGCUUGAAGAAUGUCACAGGCAAUGGCAGAUAAUCAAAAGACGCAAUGAAUAUGACCCUUUUUUUCUUCUUCAAAGUGUCUGUGUAUCAACUGGUGAUGGCAGCCCUAUUUCAGCAAAGAAAUGCCUAUCAUUUUUUAUUUUUUUAUUAUAACCAAAACACCAAAAACUAAUUCAACCCAUGUUAGAAAUAAACACCUGUGAGCAAAUCCAACACAAAUGCAACCAUUUUACCAUGUUUAUUCCAAACAAAACCUAAGAUAACCAACCAUUCUAAACUAAUUCAACCCCAAUUACUCGAAUGCAGCCAAUGUCUUUCAACCUUCCGACAACUUUGAAUGCAUUAGCAAAAUAUACAUCCACUUCCACCUCCAGCUGCCAAAUAGACCUAUAUAUGGAAGUGAAAUUCUACAUAAAUUCCUCAAUAUAUACUGAUCAUAGGAGGAACAUUUUAAAACAAAAGAAGAAAUGGUUCAGGUUUCUGUACAUAAUAAUCUAAACCCUAGUUGUUGGGCCUAUACAUACCUUUGUAAUAUUGAUUUAUAUCACUCAACUGGUUAGACCAAAACUCCUACCUUAAUAAGAUAAUAUAUUAUUAGGCAAAAAAUGAAAAGAAAAAAAGAGUUAUGGAGCUUAGACAUCAAAAAUAUAAAACUCACGUUCAUUUACAACUAGGCAUAUUGUUUGGAUGGUUUGAAUUUGAAUACAUGUAUGACACAAUAACACGGUUACCAUGCUUGAUAAAUGGAUUCCAUAGCGGGCCCUACACAUUGUGAAAUUGUUUGGAUUAAAUGGGGACUGUUUAGACUAGAUGGGCCCCUACAUGUUGCAUUGUUGGAAUUAUUUGGAUCAAAUUACACCGUUUAAAUAUCAUGAGGGACCUAUAAAAAUCA